Molecule: ribosomal RNA, 255 nt
Filed under: uncultured bacterium
Lineage: Bacteria
Description: partial small subunit ribosomal RNA
Rfam family: Bacterial small subunit ribosomal RNA
Source: RNAcentral
AGGACGAACGCUGGCGGCGUGCUUAACACAUGCAAGUCGAGCGGAAAGGCCCUUCGGGGUACUCGAGCGGCGAACGGGUGAGUAACACGUGAGCAACCUGCCCUUAGCUUCGGGAUAGCUCCGGGAAACCGGAAUUAAAUACCGAAUAUGACUGCGGCUGACAUCAGCCACGGUGGAAAGUUUUUCGGCUAGGGAUGGACUCGCGGCCUAUCAGCUAGUUGGUGAGGUAACGGCCCACCAAGGCGACGACGGGUA